CGGGACGGGUGAGUAAUGUCGUGGGAAACUGCCUGAUGGGGGGGGAUAACUGCUGGAAACGGUAGCUAAUACCGCAUAACGUCGCAAGACCAAAGGGGGGGACCUUCGGGCCUCUUGCCAUCGGAUGUGCCCAGAUGGGAUUAGCUAGUAGGUGGGGUAACGGCUCACCUAGGCGACGAUCCCUAGCUGGUCUGAGAGGAUGACCAGCCACACUGGAACUGAGACACGGUCCAG
RNAcentral lists this ribosomal RNA (234 nucleotides) under uncultured bacterium. Its description in RNAcentral is "partial 16S ribosomal RNA". It matches the Rfam family "Bacterial small subunit ribosomal RNA", at positions 100 to 334 of the family's 1533-position model. The record is from RNAcentral.